AUGUGGCCUGUGCUUUGGACCGUGGUGCGCACCUAUGCUCCUUAUGUUACAUUUCCUGUGGCCUUUGUGGUUGGGGCUGUGGGUUACCACCUGGAAUGGUUCAUCAGGGGAAAGGAUCCACUUCCUGUGGAGGAAGAAAAGAGUAUCUCAGAGCGCCGGGAGGAUCGUAAGCUGGAUGAACUUCUAGGCAAGGACCUUACCCAGAACACUGGAAAUGGUGUUGCUGGCAAGGAGAGUGACACAGAAGCUGGAACCCAGUGGUGUGGAGCAGCUCUCAGAGACCAGCCUGCUGUGCUACUGAGGUGCUGUGAUGAUGUGUCCUAUCCCCACCAAAGCCCAAAGUGCCAGCUGUGCCCACUAGGCAGAAGGACACAUGCCUUGCUUGUCAGUGCCGAGGGUCCGAGGGGCUGCUGCUGUCUUUCCUGCUUGCGUGGAUCCGUGGAGAUGCCCCUGCCAGAGAAUCCAGUUGUAACACCUCAGACUGAGGUAGCGGGAGGAGGAGUUCAAAAGAUCAGCAUCACCCUCAUUUUCAAGAUGAACAAACCAAGUGUGAUGCAUACCCAGGGAACACAGGCUUGUCUCAUGAUGCAAGCAAACACAUUCAUGUCGGCCAUAUAUCAAUCUCACCUGACAACUAUCGUGGACUUUAUCUGAGGAAAUAGGAGGAAACUGCCCACCACUGUGACCUUUGGGCUUCUCUGUACUCAUUUGCCUGUGGAGGUAUCAGCUGCUGUGGCUUGAAGGUCCCAGAUAGAUUUAAGUUUUCCCAGAGUCUUUAUGCUUGGAUUUCUUAAAGAUUCAUCAUCAACAGAUCAGGAAAAUGUCCGCA
RNAcentral lists this long non-coding RNA (829 nucleotides) under Fukomys damarensis (Damara mole-rat). Its description in RNAcentral is "lncRNA (ENSFDAG00000022465.1)". Lineage: Eukaryota; Metazoa; Chordata; Mammalia; Rodentia; Bathyergidae. The record is from RNAcentral.